AUCCUCGUCCGUGGUGAUUUGGCCGGCCGGCUUGCAGCCACGUUAAACAAGUCGCUAAAGGGCCGAGAUGCAGGAAAC
Molecule: non-coding RNA, 78 nt
Filed under: Hyphomonas neptunium
Lineage: Bacteria; Pseudomonadati; Pseudomonadota; Alphaproteobacteria; Hyphomonadales; Hyphomonadaceae
Also listed under: 1 other name
Source: RNAcentral